CCCUUAGAUGUUCUGGGCGGCCCGCGCACUACAAUGGCGCGUUCAUCGAGAACCAAGGUUGAAUUAUUCGAGGUAUUCUUGCAAAACGCGUCUUGAUUGGGAUAGAUCCUUGUAAUUGUUGGUCUUGAACGAGGAAUUCCUUGUAAGCGUGGUUUAUCAUCCCACGUUGAAUGCGUCCCUGCCCUUUGUACACACCGCCCGUCGCUCCUACCGAUGAAUUGUCCGGUGAAGUUCAUGGAGGGCUGUUUCACUGAGAUGUGCUUAAAGCGAGAUGAACCUAGCGGUUUAGAGGAAGGAGAAGUCGUAACA
RNAcentral lists this ribosomal RNA (309 nucleotides) under uncultured eukaryote. RNAcentral's name for it is "partial 18S ribosomal RNA". It matches the Rfam family "Eukaryotic small subunit ribosomal RNA", at positions 1470 to 1796 of the family's 1831-position model. The record is from RNAcentral.